Molecule: ribosomal RNA, 254 nt
Filed under: uncultured bacterium
Lineage: Bacteria
Description: partial 16S ribosomal RNA
Rfam family: Bacterial small subunit ribosomal RNA
Source: RNAcentral
UACGUAGGUGGCAAGCGUUGUCCGGAAUUAUUGGGCGUAAAGCGCGCGCAGGCGGCCUCUUAAGUCUGAUGUGAAAGCCCCCGGCUCAACCGGGGAGGGCCAUUGGAAACUGGGAGGCUUGAGUAUAGGAGAGAAGAGUGGAAUUCCACGUGUAGCGGUGAAAUGCGUAGAGAUGUGGAGGAACACCAGUGGCGAAGGCGACUCUUUGGCCUAUAACUGACGCUGAGGCGCGAAAGCGUUGGGGAGCAAACAGG